UGGGGAAUAUUGGACAAUGGGCGCAAGCCUGAUCCAGCCAUGCCGCGUGUGUGAAGAAGGCCUUCGGGUUGUAAAGCACUUUUGUCCGGAACGAAAUCCUGUCGGUUAAUACCCGGCGGGGAUGACGGUACCGGAAGAAUAAGCACCGGCUAACUUCGUGCCAGCAGCCGCGGUAAUACGAAGGGUGCAAGCGUUACUCGGAAUUACUGGGCGUAAAGCGUGCGUAGGUGGUCUGUUAAGUCUGAUGUGAAGGCCCUGGGCUCAACCUGGGAACUGCAUUGGAUACUGGCAGUCUGGAGUGCGGUAGAGGGUAGCGGAAUUCCCGGUGUAGCAGUGAAAUGCGUAGAUAUCGGGAGGAACAUCCGUGGCGAAGGCGGCUACCUGGACCAGCACUGACACUGAGGCACGAAAGCGUGGGGAGCAAACAGGAUUAGAUACCCUGGUAGUCCACGCCCUAAACGAUGCGAAGCUGGAUGUUGGGAGCAACUAGGCUCUCAGUAUCGAAGCUAACGCGUUAAGUUCGCCGCCUGGGAAGUACGGUCGCAA
RNAcentral lists this ribosomal RNA (546 nucleotides) under uncultured bacterium. Its description in RNAcentral is "partial 16S ribosomal RNA". It matches the Rfam family "Bacterial small subunit ribosomal RNA", at positions 355 to 891 of the family's 1533-position model. The record is from RNAcentral.